This 426-nucleotide ribosomal RNA is filed under the name uncultured bacterium. Its description in RNAcentral is "bacterial SSU rRNA". It matches the Rfam family "Bacterial small subunit ribosomal RNA", at positions 356 to 773 of the family's 1533-position model. The record is from RNAcentral.
AGGGAAUCUUCCGCAAUGGACGAAAGUCUGACGGAGCAACGCCGCGUGAGUGAAGAAGGCCUUCGGGUCGUAAAGCUCUGUUGCCGGGGAAGAACAAGUGCCGUUCGAACAGGGCGGUGCCUUGACGGUACCCGGCCAGAAAGCCACGGCUAACUACGUGCCAGCAGCCGCGGUAAUACGAAGGUGGCAAGCGUUGUCCGGAAUUAUUGGGCGUAAAGCGCGCGCAGGCAGCUUCUUAAGUCUGAUGUGAAAUCUUGCGGCUCAACCGCAAGCGGUCAUUGGAAACUGGGAGGCUUGAGUGCAGAAGAGGAGAGUGGAAUUCCACGUGUAGCGGUGAAAUGCGUAGAGAUGUGGAGGAACACCAGUGGCGAAGGCGGCUCUCUGGUCUGUAACUGACGCUGAGGCGUGAAAGCGUGGGGAGCAAAC